This 253-nucleotide ribosomal RNA is filed under the name uncultured bacterium. RNAcentral describes it as "partial 16S ribosomal RNA". It matches the Rfam family "Bacterial small subunit ribosomal RNA", at positions 524 to 776 of the family's 1533-position model. The record is from RNAcentral.
UACGUAGGUGACCAGCGUUGUCCGGAUUUACUGGGCGUAAAGAGCGCGCAGGCGGUCGUUCAAGUCGAGUGUGAAAGCCCCCGGCUCAACUGGGGAGGGUCACUCGAUACUGAUCGACUUGAAGGCAGGAGAGGGAAGCGGAAUUCCCGGUGUAGUGGUGAAAUGCGCAGAUAUCAGGAGGAACACCAAUGGCGAAGGCAGCUCACUGGGACGGUAUUGACGCUGAGACGCGAAAGCGUGGGGAGCAAACAGG